GAGACCCGAAGGAGGCGAGGGGAUGAGCCAUGCUUGGAGAUGUCUGUAGGGGAACAGCUUAUGCACAGGCCACAAAGCCGAAGCAUGUGGGCCAGGCCUGUUCCAGGAACAGCAAAGAGGCUGGGGAAGAGAGGAGAGAAAUGGGACCAUGGGAGGGAGUUGAACUGCAGUGCGGGAGAGCUGAAGUGGAGGCAGGGGCAGAAGCAGGGAGACCUGAUAACUGACUGUUGCAAUCAAGCAGUGCCUUUCACCUCCUGCCAUGAUUCUGAGACCUCCCCAGCCAUGUGGAAAUUUGAAGGCCUGAAUAAAACAGAAAGACUGGCCUCCCUAAGCAAGAUGGAAUUCUCCGGCAGGCUGCCUUCAAACUGCACCAUUGGCUCUCCUGGGUCAUCAGCCUGCAGGCCCACACUGUGGGAUUCGGGCUUGCCAGCCUUCAUAAUUAGGUCAGUGGAUUCAAAACGAUGAAAGUGGAUUCAAAACCUCUGUCAAGGGGUGCUGUCCUUUCCUGGCCAAGUCUCUUUUAUUCUCUUAGGGCUGCAACCUCUUCACCUGGGAAAUGAAUGGUCCUGUGAUUUACAAGAGCAGGGUCCAGGCUGAAGGUGCAGGCCCUAUCCAAGACACAACAUUUCCAGUGGCAGAGAUAAAAAAGUAAGAUUUCAGACUCAAACAUGCAAUGGCACUCCAAGUUUCUGCUUCGAACUGGCAUGUAUCUCUCUAGCUCACAUUUCAUUGGCCAAAGGAAGUCAUGUGGUUAAGCUUGACAAUGGGCUGGGGAAGUGCACUCCUUCCUCUGGAAGGUACACAAGUCACAUGGCAACUGGCUAGGAUGGAUAAUUCUCUUACUGGCCAAGGGAAGGGCAAAUAAUGGAGAAAAAUAAUACGUCAACCACAGGGGUUGAGUAACUUUCCCAAGAUCAAACCACUGGGAAGGGACAGAGGCAGAUUCAAACUCAGACAGUCUCCAAAGCCAUAGUGAACUCCAUGGCUCCCUACUGCCUGUUAGAUGGAAUCCAAAUAUAUUUAAGCUUUAGGGCAUUCCUGCAGCCUGGAGGGCCCUUCUACCUAAUUUGUGUGCUGAAUUCACUCUUUAAGGCUCCACUCCAAUCUCAA
RNAcentral lists this long non-coding RNA (1110 nucleotides) under Homo sapiens (human). Its description in RNAcentral is "novel transcript". Lineage: Eukaryota; Metazoa; Chordata; Mammalia; Primates; Hominidae. The record is from RNAcentral.